This 406-nucleotide ribosomal RNA is filed under the name uncultured bacterium. Its description in RNAcentral is "partial 16S ribosomal RNA". It matches the Rfam family "Bacterial small subunit ribosomal RNA", at positions 28 to 526 of the family's 1533-position model. The record is from RNAcentral.
GACGAACGCUGGCGGCGUGCUUAACACAUGCAAGUCGAACGAGUGGCGAACGGGUGAGUAAUAAGUGGGUAACCUGCCCUCUUUUUGGGAUAAGCCUUGGAAACGGGGUCUAAUACCGAAUAAAGGGGGAUGGGCUCGGGGCAUAUCAGCUUGUUGGGGGGGUGAUGGCCUACCAAGGCGGUGACGGGUAGCCGGCCUGAGAGGGUGACCGGGCACAUUGGGACUGAGAGACGGCCAAGACUCCGACGGGGGGCAGUAGUGGGGGAUAUUGCACAAGGGGCGAAAGCCUGACGCGGCGACGGCGCGUGGGGGAUGAAGGCUUUCGGGUUGUAAACCUCUUUCGCUACCGAACGGGUAGGUGGAGAAGAAGCGCCGGCUAACUACGUGCCAGCAGCCGCGGUAAUUC